Molecule: ribosomal RNA, 630 nt
Filed under: uncultured bacterium
Lineage: Bacteria
Description: bacterial SSU rRNA
Rfam family: Bacterial small subunit ribosomal RNA (bases 1-517)
Source: RNAcentral
CCUACGGGAGGCAGCAGUGGGGAAUCUUGCGCAAUGGGCGAAAGCCUGACGCAGCCAUGCCGCGUGAAUGAUGAAGGUCUUAAGAUUGUAAAAUUCUUUCACCGGGGACGAUAAUGACGGUACCCGGAGAAGAAGCCCCGGCUAACUUCGUGCCAGCAGCCGCGGUAAUACGAAGGGGGCUAGCGUUGCUCGGAAUUACUGGGCGUAAAGGGAGCGUAGGCGGAUAGUUUAGUCAGAGGUGAAAGCCCAGGGCUCAACCUUGGAAUUGCCCUUGAUACUGGCUAUCUUGAGUACGGAAGAGGUAUGUGGAACUCCGAGUGUAGAGGUGAAAUUCGUAGAUAUUCGGAAGAACACCAGUGGCGAAGGCGACAUACUGGUCCGUUACUGACGCUGAGGCUCGAAAGCGUGGGGAGCAAACAGGAUUAGAUACCCUGGUAGUCCACGCUGUAAACGAUGAGUGCUAGUUGUCGGCAUGCAUGCAUGUCGGUGGACGCAGCUACGCAUUAAGUACACCUCCCGCCGUCGGGGGUAGGGUACGGGUCGGCGAAGAAGUUAAAACCUUAACGUAAAGGUUAAAGUUAGUACGGCGUUGAGGACGUUGCCGACGGACGACGACGAGGGGAGGUUAGG